Canis lupus familiaris (dog) is the source of this 108-nucleotide non-coding RNA. The record is from Rfam. Lineage: Eukaryota; Metazoa; Chordata; Mammalia; Carnivora; Canidae.
GUGCCCAAUUUGGCAGCAUAUAUACGAAAAUUAGAACGAUACUGAGACCAUUAGCGUGGCCCCCGCACAAGGAUGACAUGCAAAUGUCAUGAAGCGUUCCCUACUUUG